AAAAAGACAAACCCUGGUUUCCGUGCCCAACAUUUGACCGUCCGUCUUAUUUAAAAAAAAUAUGAAAAAAAAUUAAAAAGAUAAGUCACGCAUAAAAUAUUAAUCAUGUUUUAUAAUAUAACAACAACGAAAAUACGAAUUAUAAAAAAAUUUCAUAUAAGACGGAUAGUCAAAGUUGGACACGGAAACUCAGGGUUUGCCUUUUU
This 206-nucleotide microRNA precursor is filed under the name Oryza glumipatula. Its description in RNAcentral is "MIR812 microRNA precursor family". It matches the Rfam family "MIR812 microRNA precursor family". Lineage: Eukaryota; Viridiplantae; Streptophyta; Magnoliopsida; Poales; Poaceae. The record is from Rfam by way of RNAcentral.